AAAAACUUAGUUAAAACAUAACAUUAACUUGUCAAGUUAAAAUUACUAAUAAAUUAGUAGUUUUUG
Molecule: transfer RNA, 66 nt
Filed under: Cucujoidea sp. 29 KM-2017
Lineage: Eukaryota; Metazoa; Arthropoda; Insecta; Coleoptera
Description: tRNA-Asp
Source: RNAcentral